RNAcentral lists this ribosomal RNA (468 nucleotides) under uncultured bacterium. Its description in RNAcentral is "partial 16S ribosomal RNA". It matches the Rfam family "Bacterial small subunit ribosomal RNA", at positions 28 to 507 of the family's 1533-position model. The record is from RNAcentral.
GACGAACGCUGGCGGCGUGCUUAACACAUGCAAGUCGAACGGAAAGGCCCUGCUUUUGUGGGGUGCUCGAGUGGCGAACGGGUGAGUAACACGUGAGUAACCUGCCCUUGACUUUGGGAUAACUUCAGGAAACUGGGGCUAAUACCGGAUAGGAGCUCCUGCUGCAUGGUGGGGGUUGGAAAGUUUCGGCGGUUGGGGAUGGACUCGCGGCUUAUCAGCUUGUUGGUGGGGUAGUGGCUUACCAAGGCUUUGACGGGUAGCCGGCCUGAGAGGGUGACCGGCCACAUUGGGCCUGAGAUACGGCCAAGACUCCUACGGGAGGCAGCAGUGGGGAAUAUUGCACAAUGGGCGGAAGCAUGAUGCAGCAACGCCGCGUGCGGGAUGACGGCCUUCGGGUUGUAAACCGCUUUCGCCUGUGACGAAGCGUGAGUGACGGUAAUUGGUAAAGAAGCACCGGCUAACUACGUG